AUACUUGGGACAUACUGUGAGGAUGUUAUUAGCCAAAUGUCAGAAUUAGCCAAAUGCUUUCACAUCUUCCUGCAAUCUAGUCUUGUGUUUAUGAGAAUCCUUUCUGAAUUCUCUUGACUCACAGUGGACCUUUUUUUCCCUUAGAAAUCAAGUGUAGUUUUCCAACCACUGUAUUAUCUAUUUCAUAGCUGGGGAAACUGCUGAACCUCAGCAAAAUAAAUUGGUGACAGAAGCAAGAACUAAAAAUGAGAUCUCUCUCUGGGCCUCAUAUGCUAUUACAGCAUACAUUGCCUUGAAAACAUUUUUGGUAGCAAUAAAAGUAAAAUGAUUUUGGUGAAAAUGAGUCUAUACUGGAAAAUCAGGUUGAAUUCCCUUUGUUUAUAAGUGUCCUUAGGGAUAUGACCAAGACAAAUUAUUUCCUAUACAGUGAGGAAGGAAACAGAAGUCUAACAUACACUAAUCAAAAUGCUAUCUUCUUAUGUACCAAAUUCCAAUAUUAGAAUAUUAAGACUUUAAUGCCAGUGGCACGACUAUCAUUUUGGUAUUGACUGAUUUGUUUAAUCAACCAAUCUUUAUUUGGUGUCUAUUAUGGGUUACAAACUAUGCGAUAUCCUAAAAAUAACUACAAAUUAAGGGCUUAAUGCUUAGGUAUUUACUUUUUAAAAAAAUGUUAAGUAUUUGCUUUUUUUCUUUUUUAAUAUCUGUGCAGAAGGAGCACUGGGCUGUGACUCAGGAGAUCUGGGUUGUUUUCCGGCGGAUACAUUAUUCCUUUCUCAAGUGCGGACAAUGACGUCUGCCCUUGCUCCCCUGGGAAGGCCCCCUGGCAGGGUGAGAUGGGUGCUGAAACUGAGUGGCAAGAAAGAGCCAGCCAAUUAAGAGCUUUCCAGGGAAUGGGAAGAAACAGUCAAAAGGUUGGUCAGACUAGUGAGCCAGGGGAGCAGAGAAAACACUUGGGAAUGGAGGCGCAGUGUGGAGGAAGAGCUUCCACAGCAAUGUUUAAGAAAGCAAACGAGUAAAGCAGGGACACAGUUUUAUCUUUAAAACCUCGAACACUGCUAGGCACACAGUGUAUGCUGGAUCAGGAUUUGCUGAAUGAAUGACUGAAUGAACUGAAGGGCAUAACCCAGAAUUAAUACAAUGUCACUGAUUUUUUAGAAGAAUCAUACCGUCUGUUGGGCAGAGAAUGGACUGAAGGGAGGUGGACAGGAAGGAAACAAGGGGACUGAGUAGGAGCCGUGCAAGAAUUUGGGCAGGAAAUGACGGCAGGCUGGCCUGGGGCGGUGGUUGCAGACAGGAUGACACUCGAUGCGUCGCAUACGAAGUGAUUAGUGGCAGAAAGGACUCCUGAGGAAUUCUUGGGUUUUGUCUUAAUCUCCUGGAAGAUGGCAGCGCUUCUGACAGAUGUAGCCAGUAUUGGGCUUGGGUGAGGUACCAAGCAGGGAGGGUUUAGGACUGACCCUGGAGGGCUGUGACUUUAAAAGGUGAGUGUAGAAGAGCCAGCCAGGGGAGUGUGCUGUGGAGGAGCCAGGAAUGGAGACGGUCUGAAGUUGAAGGUAGGCGUCAACCAUGACACACUCUGCAAGUGGUCAAGGUGAAAAGGAGGUGACCAGAUCUGGCAAUGUGGAGGUGACCGGUCACUGUGAGGACAGCAGGCCUGGUGGAGCGGUGGGGAUGCGAUCCCAACUGCAGGAGGCCAAGCAGAGGGUGGAAGGUGGCAAGCUGGAAAGAAUAACUCUAAAAAAUUCUUUGAAGGAGCUCUGCUAUGUAUGGGAAUAGAGCAAUUGGACUGUAGCUAAAUGGGAUGUGGGAUCAAGAGGGUGAUUGUUUCGGUGUGUUUUGUUUUUAAAGAUGAGGAAAUCAUGAAAUGCUUGCUAGGUGACCUAGUCGGAGAGUGGGGAGGAGGAACGGCUAGUACAGGAGAGAGAGGUAAGAAUUAACAGGAACAACAACCUAGUAAAGGUGAGGGGGUUAGACUCAGGGGAGAGGUGGCUCCUCAGCUGGGCAAAGAAAUUUAACCCACCAAGUCCGGAUGGAAGGCUGCCAAUGUGGGCACAGGCACAGGUGGGCUGGCACUUGGUGCAAAGGUGAGAGGGUUCUGGUUUCUUCUGUUUUCAACAGAGUGUGAAGCAAGGGUGUUGCAUGAGUAAGGGGAGGGAAGGAGUGUUGGGGGUUUAGAAAUAGAAAGCAUGGAAUCAUCAUUUACAGAGUGGGAGAAUAAAAUUGUAGGAAAUAUAGGAUUACUGGGCUGGGUUGAGAGUCCAUUUCAUAUGGUUGCGAGACUUUUGGUGGCAUGACACGUAGUCCCAUAUAUGGUGGGGGACAAGGUCAGUGUCAUAAGCUUGAGAGAGGAGGCAAAGGAAGAAGGAGAUGGUUCUCUCUUUAAGAUUUGUGAUGACUACAAGGAACAAUCAGCCAAAAGUCUGCGAGAAUCAAGCUUUACAGGCAAAAUGACCUUACGGAUACCAAUGACCCCAAAACGUUUUGGAGUGAGAGAUACACGUGAACCAGCAAACCAUCUCUCCAAGGAGGAUGAGGAAGAUGCUUCGGGUCGAUGAAGGGAAGGAGACAAAUGGAAAGGUAAGAAGUGGGCAAGGGCAGGAGCCCCAUACAGCAGACUGGUGGGAGUAGGGGAAAGACAGUGAGGUGGGAAAAGCAAUCAGGGGCAGGAAGGAGGAAACCUCAGGAGCCGAACCCCAUCUUGGUUUCAUGCCAGUGCAGUCGCUCAGCCAGAAAGGCUGGCUGGGGUCACUGGGCUCCCAUCACCAACGUCCAAGCUCUGCUUCUGCCGAAGUGGCUCCCAGGCUCCUUGCCUCUCCCUGAAUUCUGCAUAUGCCCAUCAAAGGGCCUCGCUGUGUCUCCAGCUAACUCUCCCUUUGCAGUGUUGGAAGACCUCUGGAAAAAACAGUUCCUCAACUUGUAUUUUCAGCCCACCUAAUUAAUUCCUAAGAAAACCUGAUUUGGGCAAAACUCUGGUGUUCCCACUUUUCCUCACUUGGAGCUGUCUUUCUGCUUUUGAAAGACAC
Molecule: long non-coding RNA, 3023 nt
Filed under: Homo sapiens (human)
Lineage: Eukaryota; Metazoa; Chordata; Mammalia; Primates; Hominidae
Description: HSALNT0321169
Source: RNAcentral